AUUGAACGCUGGCGGCAGGCCUAACACAUGGAAGUCGAGCGCGAAAGUUCUUCGGAAUGAGUAAAGCGGCGGACGGGUGAGUAAUACAUGGGAAUCUGCCUGGUAGUGGGGGACAACGUUUCGAAAGGAACGCUAAUACCGCAUACGCCCUACGGGGGAAAGGGGGGGAUCUUCGGACCUCUCGCUAUCAGAUGAGCCCA
Molecule: ribosomal RNA, 200 nt
Filed under: uncultured bacterium
Lineage: Bacteria
Description: partial 16S ribosomal RNA
Rfam family: Bacterial small subunit ribosomal RNA
Source: RNAcentral